This is a long non-coding RNA of Mercenaria mercenaria, 855 nucleotides long. RefSeq lists it as uncharacterized. The record is from RefSeq and is a predicted model, not a curated record. NCBI's taxonomy places the organism in Eukaryota, Metazoa, Mollusca, Bivalvia, Venerida, Veneridae. The transcript has 3 exons.
ACAUACAAACAGAAACUGAAGAACAAACUCCAUCCGACUUUCAUUUCGAUUCAGAUGAUACAAAUGAAUUAUUAAAUGGACCAAUAUGUGAAAUUGAAAUACAUAAGGCCAUUCUUAAAUUAAACAGCGGCAAAGCUGCUUCGCCGCAAGAUUAUAUACAGGGGUGGUAUAGUACGUCAUCAACAGGUGCGCGCAACACUUCCCGAUGCGGCUUUUUUGUGUCAAAACAUCUCGAUUCGGUACAUGAAAGAUGAAAAAGGAAACAAAACUUCUAGUCUGCAUCAAUGGUAUUGUCAAUAUAUGUUAAAAAGGAUUGCUGAGUGAUUGGCAUGCAAGACAUAAUUGACGUAUUAUAUUUUCCAAAAGCUGUACGACAUAAUAUUUGAGAAGUGGAGAACAUCCUCUAACGGAAUUACCCCAGACAAGGAUUUCAACACUCGGUUGCUGUUUGAAGGGGCCACGUGUUCAUCACAAUUGCUCGGGAAAAAUGAGAAAUUACUGUAUCGCGUCAACGAAAUGUUCUUAUUAAUUUUAGAUGUGCGCAGGGAAAGAACAAGAGUGACUGCAACCGAAUUAUAAUUACCACUUAGUACAAUGGGACAUCGAUUGAAUCUACACUAGAAAGCGGUUCAGGAUUUAAAAUUUGACUAAUGUUCAGAUUUUGCUUGCAAAUGUUAGUGCACCCAAUUACAUAUUAAAACUCGAAGUGAGCUUGAACAGUGGUAGGACAAUUUUACUUGCAAUGUAAAUUAUUUCAUUUUUCUUAAACUGUUUAGUUGUUGAAAAUGUUGUUGUAUAAAAGAUUAUUUAAAGUAGGAAAUUUUACUGUUUUUUUAUUUAAACCCUUACACAGUG